UACGUAGGGUGCAAGCGUUGUCCGGAAUUAUUGGGCGUAAAGAGCUCGUAGGCGGUCUGUCACGUCGGCUGUGAAAUCCCGAGGCUCAACCUCGGGUCUGCAGUCGAUACGGGCAAACUAGAGUAUUGCAGGGGAGACUGGAAUUCCUGGUGUAGCGGUGAAAUGCGCAGAUAUCAGGAGGAACGCCGGUGGCGAAGGCGGGUCUCUGGGCAAUAACUGACGCUGAGGAGCGAAAGCGUGGGGAGCGAACAGG
This 253-nucleotide ribosomal RNA is filed under the name uncultured bacterium. RNAcentral's name for it is "partial 16S ribosomal RNA". It matches the Rfam family "Bacterial small subunit ribosomal RNA", at positions 524 to 776 of the family's 1533-position model. The record is from RNAcentral.